GAUCAUGGCUCAGGACGAACGCUGGCGGCGUGCCUAAUACAUGCAAGUAGAACGCUGAAGGAGGAGCUUGCUUCUCCGGAUGAGUUGCUAACGGGUGAGUAACGCGUAGGUAACCUGCCUGGUAGCGGGGGAUAACUAUUGGAAACGAUAGCUAAUACCGCAUAACAGUAGAUGUUGCAUGACAUUUGCUUAAAAGGUGCAAUUGCAUCACUACCAGAUGG
Molecule: ribosomal RNA, 221 nt
Filed under: uncultured bacterium
Lineage: Bacteria
Description: partial 16S ribosomal RNA
Rfam family: Bacterial small subunit ribosomal RNA
Source: RNAcentral